UUUUUUAUCAAGCAAUUACCUCGGCCUUCUCGACUAUAGGUCUUUCAGGUAAAGUUCCGCACAACCUUGGUUGCUUGAUUCUGCUGCAUUCAAUCAUAUGCAAGUGAUGCCAGUUUGUUCCUGAGUUAUACUCCUAUUACACACUGUUCUAAUAAGGUCGCUAUUGUUCAAAACUUACCUAUUUCUGGAAUUGGGACAGUUGAAACAUCUACUCUGGCUUUGCCUGCUACUCUUUAUGUGCCCAACUUGUCCUGAACUUAGUUUCUGGUUAUCAAUUAAUCACGUCUGGCUGCAAUGUUGUUUUUGGUGCCUUUAGUUGUGUGGUUCAGGAUCUACAGACAAGGAAGAUAUUGGGACAAGGGAGUCGACAUGGCCAAAAAAAUUAUUUGGAAGCUUUGGAUAUGGGUCGUCAAUCUCGGUCAACCAGCAAUACAGAGCAUUCCAUGAGAUCUUUGAUAUUACUUCGUCUUCUAGUUAUGCAGUUAAACUUAAUUCAGAACAGUUGUGGUACCUAUGGAAUAGUAGAUCGGGAC
This 533-nucleotide long non-coding RNA is filed under the name Linum usitatissimum (flax). Its description in RNAcentral is "long non-coding RNA (LUSI_LNC005935)". The record is from RNAcentral. Lineage: Eukaryota; Viridiplantae; Streptophyta; Magnoliopsida; Malpighiales; Linaceae.